AGAAUCAACGCUGGCGGCGUGCCUAACACAUGCAAGUCGAACGAGAAAGUGGAGCAAUCCAUUAGUAAAGUGGCGCACGGGUGAGUAACACGUGACUAACCUACCUUUUAGUGGGGGAUAACCUAGGGAAACCUGGGCUAAUACCGCAUAAUACCUACGGGUCAAAGCAGCAAUGCGCUGAAAGAGGGGGUCGCGGUCGAUUAGUUAGUUGGCAGGGUAAUGGCCUACCAAGACUGUGAUCGAUAUCCGGCCUGAGAGGGCGCACGGACACACUGGAACUGAAACACGGUCCAGACUCCUACGGGAGGCAGCAGUGGGGAAUUUUGCGCAAUGGGGGAAACCCUGACGCAGCAACGCCGCGUGGAGGAUGAAGUCCCUUGGGACGUAAACUCCUUUCGAUCGGGACGAUAAUGACGGUACCGGAAGAAGAAGCCCCGGCUAACGUUCGUGCCAGCAGCCGC
Molecule: ribosomal RNA, 461 nt
Filed under: uncultured bacterium
Lineage: Bacteria
Description: SSU rRNA
Rfam family: Bacterial small subunit ribosomal RNA
Source: RNAcentral